RNA transcript from Dreissena polymorpha, 4117 nucleotides. It is a transcript of the gene named baculoviral IAP repeat-containing protein 2-like, with no coding region annotated. The transcript has 6 exons. Lineage: Eukaryota; Metazoa; Mollusca; Bivalvia; Myida; Dreissenidae. The record is from RefSeq and is a predicted model, not a curated record.
AUAUAAAAUAAUAAAUUUUAAUAUUUGUGAUACUUACUAGCGAUUGUUUAACAGGAAAAUCGUAUUUCUGUCGUUUUUUCUUGAUGAUAUUCAAAGAAACGGCACCAUCCGCAAACGAGCUUUGAAAACACUCAUCAUUUACAAGAAAUCGGGAAAUAUUUAAAGAUCAUCGCCUACUCACUGGAAUCCUGGCUGAAAUACUCUGUGUCAUGUGGAUACUGCUGAGUGGUGUGGGAUUUGCUUUAGAGUCGUCAAAGAACAGCCUCUUCUUAGAUGUAAAGCGCUGCGGAAUUGUGCAUUUGCUAGAACUGCCGAUAUGUUUCAACAUAUGUGCCAACUGGCUGGAAUAUGUGCUCAAUCAGAUUGUGGAAUUUCACAUACAGUUGACGAAAUUUAUAUCUGAUGGAAGGUCAUUUAAUUUGGAAAGUCAUUCUCGUCUUUUUAACUUGCAAAAAAUGAUAGCGAUUGGAAUACAAUCUUUUUGCCUAACCUCGGACACUAAACAGACUACGCACGAAGAUCCAUCUGAUAUUCAUGACAACGAUGGAGAGCUGUAUCAAUUAAUUGUACGCCACGCAUCUCCAUGGACGUCACAAGCUAUAGAGUUGUGUAAUGCUUCAUUAUCGAAAGCAUUUGAAGUUAUAUACACGUCGCUUAGAACAAUUAAACGACUGUCAAAUAAAAGGGCUUUUGUAAAGUUGAUUGGAACAAAACGGGAACGCUUCAAAUCGCAUUCAAAUUCAAAAAAGAAAAACAUAUGUGGCCCGGUUCGACCAAUAACAAACCGGAAACGAAGUUUUCGAACAGAACAAUAUUUAAAUGAUUAUGAAAAGCGUGGAUCCAAUGAGAUAUGCAUCGGAAGGACUAAAAGAUUUCACAGAAAGUCAAUAUGGUCAAACGUUAGCAAUAUUUCAACGGCAAUCACAAUAUUUUAUAAUUUGAGUCCAAUAUUUCGUAUACAUGAAUUAACUGUGCAUAAAGCCAAUCAACAACAAAAGUCAACUUUACGCUAUCUUGGUAACGCAACAGUGUUGAAAACAACAACAAUUGCAAACACGCGUUUCAAAACAAAACGUGUAGUGUUUUCGCAGACAUAUUUUUAUGUGUUAACAAUUUUACGGUUUAUUUGUGCAUACGAUCGUCUCGUCUUGCCAAGCAUAACAGAUCUACAUUUGUACAUAUAUCUUUUUUGCAGGCUUGUAUAUUUUGUCUUUCUGCAUUCUGCGUGUUUGUGUCACAUAAGCAAGCAAACUGCGUGAUAAAUGGCAGUGUAUGUGAUUUGGUUAUUCCCGGAAGGUUUUCAGUUGAGGCAUCGAGUCAAAGUGCAAUUAAACCAUUGUAUCCAUGCCAUGAAAAUAAACGAAGCUCCUUUACCAAGAAAUCAGCUGCCUGUAAACCACUCUCUCAAGACGCUGAUAAAAUAGAUGCUGACGAUAAGUUUGAAGAAACACAUGGGAUUUUUAAGAAAGAUAUUCUUGCUAGUUUACGUAGAAAUGUCUGGUUACCAACCACCGAUUUCAUUGAUGGAUUCUCAACAUCAUUAUGGUUGUCUCCUGCAUUAAGCCCAGUGAUAAACAUCAUUAACCGACUGGCUGAAGGAAGAAGCGUGCAUCCCAAGGAGAGUAUGCGUCACGAACUUUUGCGCCUGUGUACAUUUAGAACUUACCCAACGCACGGGAAACCGUCGUGUCUAAGGCUUGCUAAGGCCGGUUUCUAUUACGCUAGUCAAGGUGAUGAGGUCAUCUGCUAUUGCUGUGCCAAACGUAUCAGUAACUGGAACGAAAGGGACGACCCGUUGCGCGCUCACGGACUUGUGUCCCCUAGCUGCCCUUUCUUGGUACGCAAUUCAGAGGUCAAUGAACCAGUCACAAACGACAGAAACGAGAGUUCCAAUUCACGGCUGAACCGAUUACUUCACUCACUAGAUGAUUUGGAUGACCAGACGGAAACGAGACGACCACAUAAUGGCCCUGAAGCUAGCGCGGAAGUUGCACCAUUGUCCACGAAACCACGAUCUAACACUAAAGAGCCUGCAAGUAAUCCCCAAAAUGGUGCCUGUGGGUACGCGGACGACACUACCACGGGCCGAUCCACGCGCGAGUUGCCUGUUACUGCUAGUCAGACGGCUGGAAUAUCUAAGUUUACUAGUUUACCAGUCCAACGAGCAAGAAGUUCCAUCGCUAUGGGCAGUUUUGCAUAUAGCAGUGCGGCCGAAGCACCAGUAACUGGGCCGAACACUAGACUUGAAAACGCGGCGCCCCCGCAAGAAGCAGAAUCAAUAGUACAGGAUGCCUCAAACAGGCGCGCAGACGAUAUCCGAGAAAAACUGCUUAGCGAAAACCGCGCCUUAAAAGCUCAGUCAAAAUGUCUGCGAUGUCGUAGAAACGGCGUGUGUAUCGCGUUCCUGCCGUGCGGUCACCUGGUUUCCUGUGAUGCGUGCAGCACCGACCCCAGCGCCCGGAAGUGCUUCUCGUGCGACGCAGUGGUGAAAGCCAGGAUCAAGGCGUUCAUUGCUUGAUUUGUUCACAUAUGUUUAAUAUCAAAACAAAAAGUAGACAAAUCUCACGCGAUACCAGUCACCAUUUAAGAGGAAGUAUUGACCAGUAGAUUUUAAAAUCUAAGUUAGUAAAACAUUCAAUUUCCGAACUCUGAUGAACGUCAAACGCUUACCUAUUUAUCUUUUUCUUAAACUUCAUUCAAAACCAUGCCAUUAGCUAGUUUAGUUAACUUGAUCUAUUUCGCUUUUCAAAUAUAUACUUAGUUUCGACAAGUGUAAUUUUAAAUACAUGAGUUAACCCGCUGGUCCAAAUAUUUCGAACAAAUUACCCUAAUCUAAAAUCAGAACUGAACAAAAUAAACAAUUUGUGCUUGUUUUUAUACUUUAGUUGGAUUUUAAGAUUAGGCAUUAAUAUCUACGAGAUAACACAUUGAACGAGUACAAUGAACUCAUCGGGAAAAUAAAUGUUUUGCAUUUCAAAAAUACAAUUUAUUCUUAUUUUUUGGAAUCUAUGAUCGAUUAAAUAGUAUAGAGAUAAUAGUACGUACAGUUGUACUUUCUUUCAAAAUGUGUAUAAGUAGCUGAUAAAUGGCGUAUCUUGUAACGAUGUGUUUUUAAAAUAUAUGUUACAAAGCCCAUAUAUUUUUACUGCAAAUUUUAAGCAAAUGGCAUACAUUUGUUGGUACAGCGAAGCAAACCUUACACGAAUUGGAAUUUGACAAUAUGGUUAUAUCUCGCGGUACAAAUAAACAAGUUGCGAUAUAUCGGUCUGUGAAUUAGUGAAAUUCUUACUCUCGUACUAGUCUUCAUUUAAGUCGAUUGUUGUAUAAAGCACAGUUGUGUGUUAUUAUAAAUAUAUAAAAAGUAUUAACUAUCCCUUUAUCUAUGUGUGUACACUCAAAUCGUUUACGGUCACGGCUCGUAACUUAUGACACGUAUAAAGUAUUUCAUAAUUCUCUAUCUCAGUUGUAUAUGUUCGUAUGUCAUUGUUAGUUUAAAUAACAUCAUUGUUUCUAAUACAUAAAUAAUGUCGCUUGGGAUGAAACCUGUUUAAAACAAAUGUCAGUAGUUUGUGUAAUAUUUAGUUGAUAUAGAAUAUGAAAUUACUGUACAUGUUUAUGUCUUUAAAGGCAUCAUCAAUUUGAUACUAGCGCGUUCACUGCAAGGUCAUUUGGGCCUUGCAGCAAAGCAGGUCUGCGAGACAGACUGGUUACUUUUCUAAGUGGAAGCAACUGUUGACGAAAAUGCAAAUCUAGAAAAACCGUUAGCUUUGUUGUUAUCACAAAUGUCUUAUAUUACAGCCUACAGUACCGGUAAUUACUUUACUUAUGUACUUAUUGUCAGUGAUGUUUUGAUUGCUGUAUCGAUAUUUAUUUUUAUUUUUUGCUGAUUCUAUAUAAAACGUGUAUUAAAAUCGUUUGUUAAUCCAUUCGUAUGCGAAUAGUGUUCUAAUGUUUUGCAAUAAAUGAGUCUUUCAUUUUUGAAGGUUUACUAAAAUGGUUGAAAUCGGCAUUAAUGGCGUUAUACGUUAAAAAUAUUGUUUAUGUCUUUUACUAUUUGUUUGUAUUAUUGUGCUAUCAUUUAUUAAAGAAAUAUACUUGCAAUACGAUGUUAUUACGA